CAAUAGCGUAUAUUAAAGUUGUUGCGGUUAAAAAGCUCGUAGUUGGAUUUCUGCUGAGAACGACCGGUCCGCCCUUUGGGUGUGUAUCUGGCUCUUUCUUGGCAUCUUCUUGGUGAACGUUGCUGCACUUGACUGUGUGGAGCGCUACCCAGGACUUUUACUUUGAGGAAAUUAGAGUGUUUCAAGCAGGCAUACGCCUUGAAUACAUUAGCAUGGAAUAAUAAGAUAGGACCUCGGUUCUAUUUUGUUGGUUUCUAGAGUCGCCGUAAUGAUUAAUAGGGAUAGUUGGGGGCAUUAGUAUUCAGUUGCUAGAGGUGAAAUUCUUGGAUUUACUGAAGACUAACUACUGCGAAAGCAUUUGCCAAGGAUGUUUUCAUUAA
Molecule: ribosomal RNA, 380 nt
Filed under: uncultured eukaryote
Lineage: Eukaryota
Description: partial 18S ribosomal RNA
Rfam family: Eukaryotic small subunit ribosomal RNA
Source: RNAcentral